This 424-nucleotide ribosomal RNA is filed under the name Verrucomicrobiota bacterium. RNAcentral's name for it is "Verrucomicrobia bacterium partial 16S ribosomal RNA". It matches the Rfam family "Bacterial small subunit ribosomal RNA", at positions 355 to 776 of the family's 1533-position model. Lineage: Bacteria; Pseudomonadati; Verrucomicrobiota. The record is from RNAcentral.
UGAGGAAUAUUGGUCAAUGGGCGUGAGCCUGAACCAGCCAAGUAGCGUGCAGGAAGACGGCCCUAUGGGUUGUAAACUGCUUUUAUGCGGGGAUAAAGGAGUCCACGUGUGGAUUUUUGCAGGUACCGCAUGAAUAAGGACCGGCUAAUUCCGUGCCAGCAGCCGCGGUAAUACGGAAGGUCCGGGCGUUAUUCGUAUUUAUUGGGUUUAAAGGGGGCGUAGGCCGCGUUUUAAGCGUGUUGUGAAAUGUAGACGCCCAACGUCUGCAUCGCAGCGCGAACUGGGACGCUUGAGUACGCGCAACAUUGGCGUAAUUCGUCGUGUAGCGGUGAAAUGCUUAGAUAUGACGAGGAACUCCGAUUGCGAAGGCAGCUGACGGGAGCGGCACUGACGCUUAAGCUCGAAGGUGCGGGUAUCAAACAGG